UACAGAGGGUGCAAGCGUUAAUCGGAAUUACUGGGCGUAAAGCGUGCGUAGACGGUUAUGUAAGUUAGGUGUGAAAGCCCCGGGCUCAACCUGGGAAUUGCAUUUAAGACUGCAUAGCUAGGGUGCGGAAGAGGGAAGCGGAAUUUCCGGUGUAGCGGUGAAAUGCGUAGAUAUCGGAAGGAACACCAGUGGCGAAAGCGGCUUCCUGGUCCAGCACCGACGUUCAGGCACGAAAGCGUGGGGAGCAAACAGG
RNAcentral lists this non-coding RNA (253 nucleotides) under uncultured bacterium. Its description in RNAcentral is "partial 16S ribosomal RNA". It matches the Rfam family "Bacterial small subunit ribosomal RNA", at positions 524 to 776 of the family's 1533-position model. The record is from RNAcentral. RNAcentral also lists the same sequence under 1 other name.